This 383-nucleotide long non-coding RNA is filed under the name Physcomitrium patens. Its description in RNAcentral is "long non-coding RNA (PPAT_LNC003248)". Lineage: Eukaryota; Viridiplantae; Streptophyta; Bryopsida; Funariales; Funariaceae. The record is from RNAcentral.
UAGGAUUUGAUUUAAAGUUAGGAUUUGGUUAGGAUUUUUUUAGGAUUGGAUUUAGGAUUAGGAUUUGGUUAGGGUUUGAUUUAAGAUUUAGUAUUUGGUUUAGGAUUUAGGAUUUGAUUAGGAUUUGAUUUAGGAUUUAAGGUUUUAUUAGGGAUUAAUUUAGAAUUUAAGAUUUUUGUGAGUCAUCAAAUUGACUCACUUGUUGUUUUAGAAUAAAAAUAUUUAUUUAGAAUGCUUUAAAUCACAAUAUAUAAUGAGUAGUAUGGAAAUCCUUUGAAAAAUAGAAAAUUAGAAUGUUAGUGGUGGAAAUGGAGUCUUAGUAAGUCUUGGAGGUAAUUAUCUUUGUUGUUUUGUAUUUUUAUUCAUUCUUAAGUAUUAAGGAU